UGGGGAAUUUUGUACAAUGGGGGAAACCCUGAUCCAGCCAUCCCGCGUGUGCGAUGAAGGCCUUCGGGUUGUAAAGCACUUUUGGCAGGAAAGAAACGUCAUGGGUUAAUACCCCGUGAAACUGACGGUACCUGCAGAAUAAGCACCGGCUAACUACGUGCCAGCAGCCGCUGUAAUACGUAGGGUGCAAGCGUUAAUCGGAAUUACUGGGCGUAAAGCGUGCGCAGGCGGUUCGGAAAGAAAGAUGUGAAAUCCCAGAGCUCAACUUUGGAACUGCAUUUUUAACUACCGGGCUAGGGUGUGUCAGAGGGAGGUGGAAUUCCGCGUGUAGCAGUGAAAUGCGUAGAUAUGCGGAGGAACACCGAUGGCGAAGGCAGCCUCCUGGGAUAACACUGACGCUCAUGCACGAAAGCGUGGGGAGCAAACAGG
This 429-nucleotide ribosomal RNA is filed under the name Acidobacteriota bacterium. Its description in RNAcentral is "Acidobacteria bacterium partial 16S ribosomal RNA". It matches the Rfam family "Bacterial small subunit ribosomal RNA", at positions 355 to 776 of the family's 1533-position model. Lineage: Bacteria; Pseudomonadati; Acidobacteriota. The record is from RNAcentral.